Molecule: ribosomal RNA, 474 nt
Filed under: uncultured bacterium
Lineage: Bacteria
Description: bacterial SSU rRNA
Rfam family: Bacterial small subunit ribosomal RNA
Source: RNAcentral
ACUCCUACGGGAGGCAGCAGUGGGGAAUAUUGCACAAUGGGGGAAACCCUGAUGCAGCCAUGCCGCGUGUGUGAAGAAGGCCUUCGGGUUGUAAAGCACUUUCAGUAGGGAGGAAGGUAGUGUAGUUAACACCUGCAUUAUUUGACGUUACCUACAGAAGAAGCACCGGCUAACUCCGUGCCAGCAGCCGCGGUAAUACGGAGGGUGCGAGCGUUAAUCGGAAUUACUGGGCGUAAAGCGCAUGCAGGCGGCCUGUUAAGUCAGAUGUGAAAGCCCGGGGUCUUAACCUCGGAAUUGCAUUUGAAACUGGCAGGCUAGAGUCUUGUAGAGGGGUUAGAAUUUCAGGUGUAGCGGUGAAAUGCGUAGAGAUCUGAAGGAAUACCGAGUGGCGAAGGCGGCCCCUGGACAAAGACUGACGCUCAGAUGCGAAAGCGUGGGAGCAAACAGGAUUAGAUACCCCGUGGUAGCGACUGA